GUGCCAGCAGCCGCGGUAAUACGGAGGGUGCAAGCAUUGAUCGGAAUUACUGGGCGUAAAGGGCGCGUAGGCGGCUUGAUAAGUCGGAUGUGAAAUUCCGGGGCUCAACCCCGGAGCUGCAUUUGAAACUAUCGAGCUAGAGUACAAUUAGGGUAAACGGAAUUCCACGUGUAGCGGUGAAAUGCGUAGAUAUGUGGAAGAACACCAGUGGUGAAGACGGUUUACUGGGUUGAAACUGACGCUGAGGCGCGAAAGCUAGGGGAGCAAACAGGAUUAGAAACCCGCGUAGUCC
RNAcentral lists this ribosomal RNA (292 nucleotides) under uncultured bacterium. RNAcentral describes it as "partial 16S ribosomal RNA". It matches the Rfam family "Bacterial small subunit ribosomal RNA", at positions 505 to 796 of the family's 1533-position model. The record is from RNAcentral.